CGGACGGGUGAGUAGUGUCUGGGAAACUGCCCGAUGGAGGGGGAUAACUACUGGAAACGGUAGCUAAUACCGCAUAACGUCGCAAGACCAAAGAGGGGACCUUCGGGCCUCUUGCCAUCGGAUGUGCCCAGAUGGGAUUAGCUAGUAGGUGGGGUAACGGCUCACCUAGGCGACGAUCCCUAGCUGGUCUGAGAGGAUGACCAGCCACACUGGAACUGAGACACGGUCCAG
Molecule: ribosomal RNA, 231 nt
Filed under: uncultured bacterium
Lineage: Bacteria
Description: partial 16S ribosomal RNA
Rfam family: Bacterial small subunit ribosomal RNA
Source: RNAcentral